ACACGCAUGACACACUGCAUAUCAAUAAGCGGAGGAAAAGAAACUAACAAGGAUUCCCUUAGUAACGGCGAGUGAAGCGGGAAGAGCUCAAAUUUGAAAUCUUCAAGGUUUUACCUUGACGAAUUGUAGUUUAAAGAAGUGUUUUCUGUUGAAGUUUUGGUAAAAGUUCUUUGGAAUAGGACAUCAUAGAGGGUGAGAAUCCCGUAUUUGACCAUUAUUUUCAGCUGUGUGAUACACUUUCAAAGAGUCGGAUUGUUUGGGAAUGCAGUCCAAAAUGGGUGGUAAAUUUCAUCUAAAGCUAAAUAUUGGCGAGAGACCGAUAGCGAACAAGUACCGUGAGGGAAAGAUGAAAAGAACUUUGAAAAGAGAGUUAAACAGUACGUGAAAUUGUCAAAAGGGAAGCGUUUGACACCAGUGUUGUUUUCUCGAAAAUCAAUUAAAAAAGGCCGGAUUUUGUGUUGUAUUGACCUUAAAAGCUUUCUUCACUCUUUUCUUGUCUUUUUUAAUGCACUUUUCGUUUAACAAGUCAACAUCAGUUUCUUUUGUUGUAAAAGGGUCAUUGGAAGGUGGCUUUCUUUUCGGAGAAAGUGUUUAUAGCCUUUGAUCUCUGCAACCGGAGAGACUGAGGUCUGCAGCGUAGACUCUUCGGGGUUAGAUACAUUUGUGCUAAGUUAUAGCUUUUCAUAGACAACUUGUUGACUAUAUUUAGUCUUGUAGCUUACUCGCUUAUGCUAUUUUACCUACGCUUAGGAUGUUGAGCGCAUGUCUCUCUCU
Molecule: ribosomal RNA, 774 nt
Filed under: uncultured Neocallimastigales
Lineage: Eukaryota; Fungi; Neocallimastigomycota; Neocallimastigomycetes; Neocallimastigales
Description: partial large subunit ribosomal RNA
Rfam family: Eukaryotic large subunit ribosomal RNA
Source: RNAcentral